Molecule: long non-coding RNA, 985 nt
Organism: Grammomys surdaster
Lineage: Eukaryota; Metazoa; Chordata; Mammalia; Rodentia; Muridae
Exons: 3
Source: RefSeq, a predicted model, not a curated record
AGUCUUCACGCUGGAAGCUUUCCGGGGAGGGUCAGUAAUGGCCGCCGAGCCCUCUAUUGGCUUAUUGGCUGAGCUCAUUGAUGAAGAAGCCUUGAGUUCGUCACUUUCUCUUCUUUAAUUGCUGAGGUGGCCGUCAUUGAAGAUGACAGAGCAUUUCUGAACGACACAUGGGAAUCAUUAACCAGCCCAAUAAAAUGAUCUAUUUAUGUAGAGUUCCUUGGACAGCCCAGAGAAGGACUCCACCUUCAUUGUUCCUCUCUACUGUCCCCCGACCUACCAAAAUACAACAACCAGGGUCAUCUUCAGACAGAAGGCACACAGGCAGUAUCAUAGAGAGGCUCAUGGUUCCAACCCCUAGAGCCAUCCCGAGGUUAGACUCAGGGCACAACCAUCAGACGAAGUGGGAGGAAGAAACAUUAACUUCAACAGCUGUUUCUUGACCCCGGCUGUCAGUCUUCCCAAGAAUAAAUUUUGGAGAGUCCUAUUUGAAACAAAGAGGGAGUUUUGGGGAAGAGAAAAGUUGGUUGGUUCCAGGGCAUUCGCCCAAAGAAGCAGGGAACAAGAUGUUUGCAGUUACCACGCAGCCUGCAAGCCUCUGCCGGGUGCAGGGAAGGAGCAAAGUAACUUGAAAGCUCCCCUCUCGGCGCCCUGUGCCUGCAGCUUCCCCCCCUAACGCGCGCCCAGAUCCAGCGCCGGUGGUAAGAGCCGAAGCUCGACUACAGUAAUUCCCCAGCUCGGGCGGCUUGAAACUGCUCGGGCUGAAUAGCAUUUGCUGUUCCGUCCUGUGGCAGCCUCCCGCCGCCGCUGCCGCGCUCCCUGCAAAGCAGCUCUCAUUAUCCCGGAAGUUGUGCUGACACAGUCUCGCUGCCACCAGAAGUUUGUCAACAUCAAACUUCUCCUGUGUGGGGUACGUUCACCUUCCACGAGUAUUUAAUCGAGCCAACAAGCAAACAAACAAACCCAAAUAAACCUGCCCGUGAUGUCA